Molecule: ribosomal RNA, 612 nt
Filed under: Triticum aestivum (bread wheat)
Lineage: Eukaryota; Viridiplantae; Streptophyta; Magnoliopsida; Poales; Poaceae
Description: partial small subunit ribosomal RNA
Source: RNAcentral
AUGAGACAAGUUGUUGCUGAUUAUUGGUGGGGUAGAGAAGAUGGUAAGAGGAAACUUCACUGGCGUUCAUGGGAUUGGUUAUCCACACCAAAAAAGCUUGGUGGACUAGGUUUCUGUGAUUUUCCGCUCUUCAACCAAGCUACGCUUGGUAGACAAUGUUGGAGGCUUCUUACUGAGCCAGAUUCUCUUUGUGCUCGGGUUCUCAAAGGACGCUAUUUUCCUUCCUGUGAUUUUUGGGAUGCGCCCAAGCCUAGAUCGUCAUCCUAUACUUGGAGAAGUAUUCUCUAUGGCCGAGAGCUUGUUAAGGCUGGUGUUCGUUGGGGAAUUGCUAAUGGCCAAAAGGUUAAAAUCAUGACAGAUCACUGGAUUCCCGGACGACCACCGCAUAUGUUGCAAACUCUAUUUCCAAUUCCAGAAUAUGCUAAAGUGUGUUCUCUCAUGGAUGGACAUGGUCAUUGGAACGAAGAAAAUGUCAGAGCUUUCUUCCCAGAGGAAACUGUUGAACUCAUAUUACAAACACAGAUUAGCAGCCAUGGAGGAGAGGAUUUUGUGUAUUGGCCUCAUACUCGCUUUGGACUAUAUAUUGUCUGUUCAGCAUACAAUCUUGCUUGA